AACAAAUACAGAAUUUAUCACGUUCAUACCCAAAAAACACUCACUACCAAAAAUAUGAUGUAAGCUCACUCACGUAUUAUAUGAUGAAUUCCAAGUGUGACUUGAAAGAACCAAAGAACUUUUUGUUACAAUCAUAUUACUUACUAUCAAGAUCUAAAGGUCUUCUCAACCCAAUAUCCAUAGCUCUAAUGGCCGACCAAACGGACAACCAAUUGGACAUUCGAUCUAUUUUUCUUAAUUUUUAUACAUAUUCGUACCGAAGUAGACCAAGUGGUGACAAAUUUCUUUUGUUGAACCCCAC
RNAcentral lists this long non-coding RNA (301 nucleotides) under Brassica rapa (field mustard). RNAcentral describes it as "long non-coding RNA (BRAP_LNC001800)". The record is from RNAcentral. Lineage: Eukaryota; Viridiplantae; Streptophyta; Magnoliopsida; Brassicales; Brassicaceae.